UCGAAACCCAUUGAAACCAUUCAGUUUAGAUUCGAUUGACACCUUCUCAUCGAACCGCAAAGAUAGCGGUUGGAUUCUUGUUUCCAUUAAAGCUCUGUUUUCCUCCUCCAAUCCCGCUGCUUCUCUUCGACACCCAGAAAUUGCCCGUAUUACCUGGCGAGAUAACUGGGUACUAAGACGGCGAUGGUUGUCAAGAGAAGAAGUGAUAUUAAAU
Molecule: unclassified non-coding RNA, 214 nt
Filed under: Hevea brasiliensis (rubber tree)
Lineage: Eukaryota; Viridiplantae; Streptophyta; Magnoliopsida; Malpighiales; Euphorbiaceae
Source: RNAcentral